Molecule: ribosomal RNA, 365 nt
Filed under: uncultured Prevotella sp.
Lineage: Bacteria; Pseudomonadati; Bacteroidota; Bacteroidia; Bacteroidales; Prevotellaceae
Description: bacterial SSU rRNA
Rfam family: Bacterial small subunit ribosomal RNA
Source: RNAcentral
UGAGGAAUAUUGGUCAAUGGGGCGGAAGCCUGAACCAGCCAAGUAGCGUGCAGGACGACGGCCCUAUGGGUUGUAAACUGCUUUUAUGCGGGGAUAAAGUGGGCCACGUGUGGCCUUUUGCAGGUACCGCAUGAAUAAGGACCGGCUAAUUCCGUGCCAGCAGCCGCGGUAAUACGGAAGGUCCGGGCGUUAUCCGGAUUUAUUGGGUUUAAAGGGAGCGCAGGCCGCCGGGCAAGCGUGUUGUGAAAUGCAGUCGCUCAACGUCUGCACUGCAGCGCGAACUGCCCAGCUUGAGUGCGCGCAACGUUGGCGGAAUUCGCCGUGUAGCGGUGAAAUGCGUAGAUAUAUGGAGGAACACCGGUGGC